RNAcentral lists this ribosomal RNA (273 nucleotides) under uncultured Bacilli bacterium. RNAcentral describes it as "partial 16S ribosomal RNA". It matches the Rfam family "Bacterial small subunit ribosomal RNA", at positions 73 to 339 of the family's 1533-position model. The record is from RNAcentral. Lineage: Bacteria; Bacillati; Bacillota; Bacilli.
UUUGACGAUGGAUUACCAGUGAGCGGCGGACGGGUGAGUAACACGUGGGCAACCUGCCCUGGAGCGGGGGAUAACAUCUGGAAACAGGUGCUAAUACCGCACGACUAUUAAAACCACAUGGUUUUAGUAUAAAAGAAGGCUUUGGCUUUCACUCUAGGAUGGGCCCGCGGUGCAUUAGCUAGUUGGUAAGGUAACGGCUUACCAAGGCGAUGAUGCAUAGCCGAGUUGAGAGACUGAUCGGCCACAAUGGAACUGAGACACGGUCCAUACUCC